This is a non-coding RNA of Hymenobacter sp. CRA2, 371 nucleotides long. It matches the Rfam family "transfer-messenger RNA". Rfam says of the family: Bacterial tmRNA, also known as 10Sa RNA or SsrA, is named for its dual tRNA and mRNA-like properties. Its role is to liberate the mRNA from a stalled ribosome. NCBI's taxonomy places the organism in Bacteria, Pseudomonadati, Bacteroidota, Cytophagia, Cytophagales, Hymenobacteraceae. The record is from Rfam.
GGGGCUGACCGGAAUUGACAGCUUGCGCAGGUCGCGAGUAAGCGUGUCGGGAGUUGGACGAAUCUCCCGCCAAAAAAUCAUCCGAAAAACAACUGGCGACUACUCGUACGCCAUGGCUGCCUAGUCUAGGUACUAAGCACUAGCCAUCAUCCCGCAUCCGUCUUCCUUUUCACGGGUGAGUUCGGGGUGUCGAAAGUAUUAGGAUAGUCUGGGUGGCGCUGCGACGCCCAAGCGAAACUCUAGCAGAUAAGGGUAACCCAUAGGCCUGAUGUGCGCCUCGGUUGCUUCGAAAAUGCAAGCAUAGCUACACACGUAGAAGGCUCGUCGCUCUCCUUGUCUGGACCGGGGUUCGACUCCCCGCAGCUCCACUA